This 502-nucleotide ribosomal RNA is filed under the name uncultured bacterium. RNAcentral's name for it is "partial 16S ribosomal RNA". It matches the Rfam family "Bacterial small subunit ribosomal RNA", at positions 30 to 523 of the family's 1533-position model. The record is from RNAcentral.
AUUGAACGCUGGCGGCAUGCCUUACACAUGCAAGUCGAACGGCAGCAUAGGAGCUUGCUCCUGAUGGCGAGUGGCGAACGGGUGAGUAAUAUAUCGGAACGUGCCCUAGAGUGGGGGAUAACUAGUCGAAAGACUAGCUAAUACCGCAUACGAUCUACGGAUGAAAGUGGGGGAUCGCAAGACCUCAUGCUCCUGGAGCGGCCGAUAUCUGAUUAGCUAGUUGGUGGGGUAAAAGCCUACCAAGGCAACGAUCAGUAGCUGGUCGGAGAGGACGACCAGCCACACUGGGACGGAGACACGGCCCAGACUCCGACGGGAGGCAGCAGUGGGGAAUUUUGGACAAUGGGGGCAACCCUGAUCCAGCAAUGCCGCGUGAGUGAAGAAGGCCUUCGGGUUGUAAAGCUCUUUUGUCAGGGAAGAAACGGUAGUAGCGAAUAACUACUACUAAUGACGGUACCUGAAGAAUAAGCACCGGCUAACUACGUGCCAGCCGCCGCCGUAA